Molecule: ribosomal RNA, 253 nt
Filed under: uncultured bacterium
Lineage: Bacteria
Description: partial 16S ribosomal RNA
Rfam family: Bacterial small subunit ribosomal RNA
Source: RNAcentral
GACAGAGGGUGCAAACGUUGUUCGGAAUUACUGGGCGUAAAGCGAGUGUAGGCGGUCUCAAAAGUCGGGUGUGAAAGCCCUGGGCUCAACCCAGGAAGUGCACUCGAAACUGCGAGGCUAGAGUAUCGGAGAGGUUGGUGGAAUUCUCGGUGUAGAGGUGAAAUUCGUAGAUAUCGAGAGGAACACCGGUGGCGAAGGCGGUCAACUGGACGAAUACUGACGCUGAGACUCGAAAGCGUGGGGAGCAAACAGG